Molecule: unclassified non-coding RNA, 381 nt
Filed under: uncultured bacterium
Lineage: Bacteria
Description: contains 16S-23S intergenic spacer region
Source: RNAcentral
UCCGGUUUGUCACCGGCAGUCUCGCAUGAGUCCCCAACUUAAUGCUGGCAACAUACGACGGGGGUUGCGCUCGUUGCGGGACUUAACCCAACAUCUCACGACACGAGCUGACGACAGCCAUGCAGCACCUGUUACCGGUCCAGCCGAACUGAAGGGAUCCAUCUCUGGUUCCCGCGACCGGGAUGUCAAGGGCUGGUAAGGUUCUGCGCGUUGCUUCGAAUUGAACCACAUGCUCCACCGCUUGUGCGGGCCCCCGUCAAUUCCUUUGAGUUUCAGCCUUGCGGCCGUACUCCCCAGGCGGGGCACUUAAUGCGUUAGCGCCGGCACUCAGGGGGUCGCUCCCCCAAGCACCUAGUGCCCAUCGUUUACGGCGUGGACUCC